CCAAAGGCAGUUUUUACAGCCACAUAAUUUAAUUAUGAAAAAAGUUU
Non-coding RNA from Ailuropoda melanoleuca (giant panda), 47 nucleotides. The record is from Rfam. NCBI's taxonomy places the organism in Eukaryota, Metazoa, Chordata, Mammalia, Carnivora, Ursidae.